CCCCAAGCCGCCGCCACUCCUCCUGUCUCUUCCUCCUCGGGUUCAUCCCCGAUCCAAAUCCCCUCCUCGCUUUCACCACCACACCAACCCGAGCCAAUCACCUCUCCUUCCACUUAGCCUCUCCAUCGGGAUCCAUCCCGUCCAACCAACGAGCCCCCUCCUCCUGCUUUGUUCCCCGAAGGGAUCGAGAGAGUUGCCGCCGCCUUGUCACCUCCCGCGCCUCUCGACCCCCGCCUCCUCUGCACGCAUCUCACCGGAGCAAGCUCACCCCGAUCCAGUCGCUGCCGGUGAACAGCGGCAGCAACCGAGGAGACUGCCGUCGCGCCCUCUGCCAUGGAGCUCGCCUCCAUAGUCAGCACCGCCCGAGGGCCCCACCGUCCCCGACCUCCCCGCGGCCCACCUCACCUCAUCAUCCUCGUCUCCUCGCGACCGCGAGCCUGUCCUCGGACGCGCCUCCUCUGGUUCCCGAGGCCGAGUCGCCCCGUGCCCGCAACCCCGCGUCGACCUCCUGCCUCAUCUGCGUCGUCGGAGCCCCGAGGAGUUUGCGCCGUCCAUUCCUGCAUCCCGCUCGUCCCGGAGUUCCCUUCUUCGCCAGGACCACUGCCGCUGCUUCGCUCGAGCGACCGCAGCCUCGGGAGGAGCCCGAGAGCCUCCUCCUGCUCGACCCUGCUGCCUCGCUGCGGACCUCUUCCAGUGUGGACCUCGCCGGAGCUCCGCAAGUCGCCGAGCACAUCGCGCGCCGACCGUUCCGAGCUCCAAUCCGCGACUCCCCUUGCCGGAAUUGAACCCAGGCACCUCCCCGCGCUCAGUUCCGCCGUCCUCGACCGGUUCCUGCUCGCCCUCGCCCACACAAGUCCCUCGUCGCGCCGCCGUCGUCAAGUCCCUGCCGUGGCUCUACUUUCUGACGAGAACAGGGCGAGGUGCCCGCUCGCCUGUUCCUUCCCCGUUGACUUUUCAUCAAUGGAUUGCAGCGCCCAGGCCCAUCGCGCCAGCCUCCCUAGUUCACCGUCGAACUGGGCCCAAGGCCUCAAAGGCCCAUUGUGAGCAGCUCCCAAAUCCGCCCAGAUUCAGCCUGCCUAUAUUUUUUUCGUGCCCUGUGAAUUUGUCUAUUUAUCCAGGAGUUUGCAGUUUUACAGAAAAGCCCUCAUACAUCAUGCAUAUAAUAACUUAACAACCGUGCAUCGGUUUAAAAUGACUUAUAUAUGAAACAUGACUAGAAUUUCAUCUAGUUUCGUAAUAUGUCAUUUUCAUCCAUGUUUAAAAUGUUGUUUGUUUAAAUUUUCUUAAAUAACUUGCUAAAAUGAUUUAUUUCAUAACUAAAUAACCGUAGCUCCGAAUUUAACAAACUUUAUAUGUAAAUGGGGUAGAAUUUUGCAUAGUUUAACAUGGUGCACUCUUCUUGCAUGUUUAACAACUAUAAAAUUGUGUUUAGGGCAGAACAGUACCAUAAUCAAAAUAUGCACAUGAGGAGUUUCCGGACUUGUUGUUUGUUGUUCCGGCCUCAUUUAACCUCGCCUAGAUAGGUAGUUUUCAUUUGCUUCACCUCUUGCCAUGUUAAGCAACAUUUAAUAUUGUUGGGUACGUAAACAAGAUCGAACUAAAUAACUUGUUGUGGAGUUUCGUCACUAUGCAACUCGUUGCAUAUUGAGCUCCACUUACCAUGUAGUUUUGCUUGUGCACUUUGCCAUGCCAUGAAUCAUUAAACCGGACAUGCAUCAAACUUGGUUGUGCAUCAUGCGAUGUUUAUGUGGUGGUUGUUUACUAUGUUGUUUGCUUCUUUCCGGUGUUGCUUCUUCGGGUUGGUUCUGAUAACAUCGUGAUUGUGAGGACUCGUUCGUCUACGUCCGUUUGUCUUCUUCAUUGACUCGUUCUUCUUCCUUGCGGGAUUUCAGCUUGCAGGUGUCGUGGAACCAUGCAUAUGACGCAACUAAGCUCAAGGAGGAGCUCGAUGAAGAUCUUGUCCUUUAUGUUGUUCUGCUUCCAGUUGAUCAGUAGUGGAGCCCAGUUGGGGUCGAUCGGGGACCUUGUCGCAUUUGGGGUUCUUCUUUUAUUUUGGUUCCGUAGUCGGACCUUGAUUGUAUUUGGA
This 2086-nucleotide ribosomal RNA is filed under the name Triticum aestivum (bread wheat). RNAcentral describes it as "partial small subunit ribosomal RNA". Lineage: Eukaryota; Viridiplantae; Streptophyta; Magnoliopsida; Poales; Poaceae. The record is from RNAcentral.